This 1199-nucleotide long non-coding RNA is filed under the name Homo sapiens (human). RNAcentral describes it as "non-protein coding lnc-FN1-6:3". The record is from RNAcentral. Lineage: Eukaryota; Metazoa; Chordata; Mammalia; Primates; Hominidae.
AUCCUGCCUGCGAUCCCGAAGUCCAGGCGUGGGAGCCAGCGAUCUGCCCACGACCCCAAAGUGAGGCCACUCCACGGCCUCUGGGGCAAAUGCCUGUUAUUCUAGGCAGCCGGUCCCCAGAAGCUGGAAAGUACGUAAAAGUGCCAGAAGCUCCCAUGCUGAAAACUAAACAAAAGGAAUAGUUCAUAUAGCGGCAAAGCUGGAAAGUAUCUGGACAGUUAUCUACCAUCCUCCCUUUUUGUUUGUUGUUUUUUUGUUUUUCUGGGUUUUUUUGUUUUUUUUGUUUUUUUUUUUUUUUUUUGAGAUGGAGUUUCGCUUUUGUUGCCCAGGCUGGAGUGCAAUGGCGCGAUCUCGGCUAUGUCACGUGCAACCUGCAACCUCCACAUCCCGGGUUCAAGAGUUUAUCCUGCCUCAGCCUCCCGAGUAGCUGGAAUUAUAGGCAGGCGCCACGAUGCCCGGCUAAUUUUUGUAUUUUUAGUAGACAUGGGGUUUCGCCAUGUUGGCCAAGCUGGUCUCAAACUCCUGACCUCAGGUGAUCCGCCUGCCUCGGCUUCCCAAAGUGCUGGGAUUACAGGGGUGAGCCACCAUGCCCAACUUGUUUUUUGUUUGUUUGCUUGCUUGCUUGUUUGCUUGUUUGUUUUGAGACAGGGUCUCGCUCUGUCUCCCAGACUGGAGAGCAGUGGCACCAUCUCAGCUCACUGCAACCUCUGCCUCCCAGGUUCAAGAAAUUCUCCUGCCUCUGCCUCCACACCCGUCUAAUUUUUUGUUGUUGUUGUACUUUUUUUUUUUUUUUUUUGUAUAUUUAGUAGAGAUGGGGUUUCACGGUGUUGGCCAGGCCGGUCUUCAACUCCUGACCUCAAAUGAUCUGUCCACCUCAGCCUCCCAAAGUGCUGGGAUUACAGGUGUGAGCCACCGUGCCCGGCCCCAUCCUCCUUUUUAAUAGGCUUAAAAAAUAAAACCAAGGACCAAUGAUUUAAGUGAGGGACUCCAGAGGCCACAGAUGACAGUCAAAACGAAGUGAAAUUGACAUUCGUUGUUGAUUUUCACGUCAUAAAAUUAUAAUUUAAAUAUUAAUUUAUAAUACUAUUUUAUACAAUUUAGUCAGUAUUGUAAAAGUGCCUAAAAACUACUUAAAGAUGGUGUCUUCUUGCAAACCUGUAAAUAUUCCUGGAUGAGAGGAAUGAUGACAGUCAAAAGAA